ACCAGUUACUGCUUCUGACCAGAUCAGGCAAACAGUGAAGGACUUCAGUUACUGUGCAAGAUGAGAGGUUCACUGUUACUGCUGGAGUCCACAGACGGAAAUGGAUAUGAUCAACUAAGCCAACAUGAUACAGACAUUAUUGACAGAGCAAUAAAAGCAGCCAAUUAGAGACAUGGAAAAACCAAACACCUUGAUUUUGCCUCCAUUUUAAGAGUAGAUUCUGCUAAGCGCAUGCUUAAUGUGUUAUUAAAACCCACCACAUGUGACAGGGCAGAACCGUUUGUCCAUCGGAAAGACUGUAAAAUCCAAAAUCCAAAGGCUACACCUCAAGUUUCUUGCAUUGAUUGUCGGGGAGAGAUGACCUGUUUCUCUCUCAGAGAACAAGAAAAGAUUAAACAAACUAUAUCCAAGUGUUUGAAUUACCUAAAGAGAUUCCAUAUUUCUGGGGAGGCAUAUCCUUUGACACAUAAAUGAGCAACAAACUGGAUGUCUGGGAUGCAUCUGAGAAAUAAAAAUAAUCAAGGAUCUUUGAAACUGGCUAAACAACUAAUGAAAUGUACCUUAUAAAACUGACCUCGGGCCAAGAAUUUAAUUAUGAAGAUUAAUGUGUAUUUUCAUAAUAGUUUUCAUAAUAUGUUUCAGUGUAAUUAAGUAAUUUUGAGAGAAAUAUGGAAAAUAUAGUAGCCUUCUUUAGUAUGUCCUAGUGCUGAAUAACAAGACAAAUUAAUAAUUGUUUAAAAAUAGUUUUUAAAAUGUCUAAAUAUUCUUCAUAGAAAACAAUGUUAAAUUGUCAUGAAUUUUCAUGAAUAAAAUCUUGAUCUUUAGACAAGUUUUUGGCACUGAAUUUGAGGGGUCCAGGAUCUUGAAGAGAUCUGUAAACUGCAAAAGAGAUCUGUCCUGCAGUGAGAUGCUGGUCGCUUAUUCAAAACAAAGGCGUAGCUUGAUGAUGCCUUGACUUCGUGGAAUCAUGGGAG
Molecule: long non-coding RNA, 974 nt
Organism: Megalobrama amblycephala (Wuchang bream)
Lineage: Eukaryota; Metazoa; Chordata; Actinopteri; Cypriniformes; Xenocyprididae
Exons: 5
Source: RefSeq, a predicted model, not a curated record